This 164-nucleotide unclassified non-coding RNA is filed under the name uncultured Eurotiales. RNAcentral describes it as "sequence contains ITS2". The record is from RNAcentral. Lineage: Eukaryota; Fungi; Ascomycota; Eurotiomycetes; Eurotiales.
CUGCCCUCAAGCGCGGCUUGUGUGUUGGGCCCCGUCCCCCCUCCCGGGGGACGGGCCCGAAAGGCAGCGGCGGCACCGCGUCCGGUCCUCGAGCGUAUGGGGCUCUGUCACCCGCUCCGUAGGCCCGGCCGGCGCCUGCCGACCACCGAUCAAUCUUUUUUCCA